Molecule: long non-coding RNA, 1634 nt
Filed under: Stegodyphus dumicola
Lineage: Eukaryota; Metazoa; Arthropoda; Arachnida; Araneae; Eresidae
Description: uncharacterized LOC118201483
Source: RNAcentral
ACUUUGAAGGUGAAAAAAGCUUAAUCCUAGUAUACGGUGCACAUGAGAGUUGGCGAAAUUGGGGUUUAAGAGACUAAUAAGCGCGCCAACUGUGGUAACCAAGCCGAUUUUGAUGCUCUGCAGGAGAGUGCAUUUGGGAGCAUUUUCGCGCAUGCUCAUUAAAUACUUUAAAUUGAGAAGUUUUGAUUGGUGCAGAUGGAAGAGAAGAAUUAUUUCAAACCAUUGUUUGAAGUUCCGUUAAUCUUCGGUCUUCGGCUGAACUGAAUGAGAAAGGAUAACGUAUGUUCAGGUAUGUGAUCUUAGAAGUGACUAUGUGAAUAAUACAAGAUUAAACUAAAACUUAGGCACUUUGUGAUGACAAAACAACUUCGCCCAAUCCUGUCCCAAUUCUCACUGGAAAUAUCCUACAAGAUGGAAAAAAAGGAGUCUAUAUCUCUCCCCCCCCCCAAGAAACUGCAUCUCAUUGGGAUUUCUGCUUGAUUUUUAAAUACUCCUGUGCUAUCAUUUGAAUCAUUUUGCAUCAUGUUGCCACAUGUUUCGUCUUCUCUUUCCAUGCAAUCUUUUUGCACUGUAACAUCUUUACCCCAAUCACUGCUCAGGACUGAUAGAAUGACUUUCCGGCUACAAAAAGGACAAAAUGAAUAUGCAUUGCUUUUUCUCACCUGGCUGCUGCUUGAAUAAACCACGUCUCUCGCUUCACCACCCUCUUUCUUCAUCUAAGAUAAAGCUAUGAUUUAUUUUCCCUAGUCGUCACCUAUAACGGCUGUGGCUAAACAGUGACUUAAUUUAAUUUUUUGAAAAAACUACAAGAUCAUAUAUAAAAUAUAUAUGUGUAAGAUGAAUUGGAGUAAGGUGCAACAGACUGAUGAUGGCUCUCUACAUUAUAUUCUAGGCAGACUUUAGUGCUUCAUUAGAAAGACAACAUUCGAAGGGAAGACUUGUAGACAGACAUGGCCAAAUUGAAUAUAACUGGUGGAUAUGAACUAAUUAUCAAAAACAUCUCUUUCAUUCACACAUGAUCAUGGGUGCAAUAUGCACCCCAAAAUUUUAUAUAGAGAGAAUCACAAUUUAGAUAAUGGCAUAGUAUUAGUAGCACAACAAAGCAAACGGUGUGCAGUAGCAUCUUGAUUGCAGGACAGCUGAAGCUAAAAGUGCACAAUUAUCCAAUAUGGAAGCUUACCAAGAGAAGAUUUUGAUUUAGAUUAGAAAGGUUUCAGUUCUCAAAAUUUUGAGUUCAGAUACCGAGUUAGCUAUGUCAUCAGCAUUAUGCAAGCCAUGCAAGAUGGACUGAUCUAGAAAUGAUGCAGUCUAAAAAGGUUAAGACUUUUUAGAAUAGAGAGAAAGAAUUAUGGGGUUUUGAUUUACAUACUUUUUAUCUUGCAUAUAUGUAUGUAUACUAGUUGUAGAAUUUUAAUAUUGCUAUAACAUUAAUUAAUGAGCUUACUUUUAAUUGCCUAUUUCUGAUAUAUUUUUAAGUAAACAUAAGAUAAUAAAUAAUACAUGAAUGCAUAUAUCAUCUAUGUGUUUAAGUACAUGUGAUUUUACAUGCUCUGUAUUUAAUGGUCAUUUUGCCAAACAGUAUCCAUCGGCUGUAAAAAUGUACAUAUUGACUACAUAAAUUUUUUUCCCUUUAA